This 532-nucleotide ribosomal RNA is filed under the name uncultured bacterium. Its description in RNAcentral is "partial 16S ribosomal RNA". It matches the Rfam family "Bacterial small subunit ribosomal RNA", at positions 355 to 895 of the family's 1533-position model. The record is from RNAcentral.
UGGGGAAUAUUGCACAAUGGGCGAAAGCCUGAUGCAGCAACGCCGCGUGAGGGACGACGGCCUUCGGGUUGUAAACCUCUUUUAGCAAGGAAGAAGCGAAAGUGACGGUACUUGCAGAAAAAGCGCCGGCUAACUACGUGCCAGCAGCCGCGGUAAUACGUAGGGCGCAAGCGUUAUCCGGAAUUAUUGGGCGUAAAGAGCUCGUAGGCGGUUUGUCGCGUCUGCUGUGAAAACCCGAGGCUCAACCUCGGGCCUGCAGUGGGUACGGGCAGACUAGAGUGCGGUAGGGGAGAUUGGAACUCCUGGUGUAGCGGUGGAAUGCGCAGAUAUCAGGAAGAACACGAUGGCGAAGCCAGAUCUCUGGGCCGUAACUGACGCUGAGGAGCGAAAGGGUGGGGAGCAAAACAGGGCUUAGAUACCCUGGUAGUCCACCCCGUAAACGUUGGGAACUAGUUGUGGGGUCCAUUUCCACGGAUUCCGUGACGCAGCUAACGCAUUAAGUUCCCCGCCUGGGGAGUACGGCCGCAAGGCU